Molecule: long non-coding RNA, 246 nt
Filed under: Lathyrus oleraceus (garden pea)
Lineage: Eukaryota; Viridiplantae; Streptophyta; Magnoliopsida; Fabales; Fabaceae
Description: Pisum sativum (pea) long non-coding RNA (PSAT_LNC031177)
Source: RNAcentral
CUUUUGAGGUCUUUCGGGUUGUAACUUGGCUUGGGUUAGGGUAUGGAUUAUUAAAAAAACGGAAAACAAGUGGUUUUUGAUUCAGAGUCGAUGUUACAUACUGUGUUCGUUUCUUUUUAUUUGCUUAGUUUUAUUAUUUUUUUCUUCACCGAAUGCCCUUUUCCGUGCUUCUUUUUGAAUAUUCGAGUUAUAAUUUUUCUCUUUUUAUUUUUUUUCUUUCUUUCGAUUCAUCAUUUUUUUAUUUUU